AUUGAAUUUCUUAAAAUACAAAAAUGACUUGUAAAAUUCUUUUAAUUACUUGAAAAUGGUAAUGAAUAUUUUUAGGAGUUUUGAAAAUAUUAAAAAUAUUAUUUUUGUAGAAGUUUCAUGUUUAAAUAUUUCUUGAACACAAUUAACUUCUAAAUUACGUAUAAAUUUCAGUAAUGCUUCAUAAAUCCCGAAACUUUUAUUUUAUUAGUUUUAUAAUAUUCCGGGAUUUAUAAAAAUAUGUUGGUGAUGUUUCCAAGAUACUAUAAUAGCGAGAUAUUCCGAUAAUAUAGUUAAAAGCGGGUCCGAGUCAAUUGGUUAUUCAGAUUAUUAAAGGCACGUGGAAGUACAAGACUUAGCCACGUACCCUUUUACAGCACCGCCUCGUUUUGCCGACCUUCAUAUUAUCAUAAAUCAAAAUCUCAUUCCUCUAAAUCUAUCGUCUCUCUCUCUCUCGCAUAUUUCUCCUUCCUCCCUCAAACCAACAGUCGCCUCCCCUAUAUGCUGUUUGUCGACAUCGAUGCCCUCCGUUUUUCUCUCCAACACUGCCGCUGUUCUCAGUUCUGCGAUUGAAGUCGCGACAACCGCUGUCUAAUCGACUACCGAUGCUCCGUUUCUGGCAACCCAGGCUCUGUCCUCCACCUUCUGACCAUAUUCUUGUUCGAAUUGAACGAGACGUUGAUCGAGGCAUUGAUCGAGAAGUGAUUGAAAUGGGUAUUCAAAAAUAGCUAAGUUGUGUUGCAAGUUGAAGUUGGGCAGAGAUUGUUAUAGAUAGAAUCUUGUCAGAAGCUGGCAGAAAGGAAUGAUAUGGCACUACAUAGUGUUAUUAGAAAUCUGAGCUAGACACCGGAGUUAAGAUAAUGUUAAAGAUGGUUCGCCUAUUUAGGCUAAGCAUAAGAGUAAGGCUAGGCGAGGAUUGCAAGUGACUAAGUUUCAACCUGAUGGUCAGGAAGAGUAUCCAAGAUCGAGUCUUUGGGACUAGUGGUAAUUAGAGUUGUCUAAAUUUGAUUUAGUUGUAAAAACAUGUAAUAGAAUUUAUUAGUUUUAUUUUUCUGAUUUCAAUACUAUAGCCUGUUUGCGAUCCUGUUUUAAAGGGGGUUAAACUUUGUUCUUUUAAAUCUUUUAUUAAAGCUUUCAGGUUUUAAAUCCUCUGUUUUUUUAAGCUUUUCAAAAAUACAGGUUUUCAAAACUGUAAAUCAUAUUUAAAAUAUCCAGGUUUUGAAAUUUCUAUUUUACUCUCUUUCAAAUAUAUAGGUUUUAAAUUUUUUUUCAUAUAGUGGCACCAAAUCCAGACCCCCGGAUUUGAGGGCUGUCACAGUUGGUAUCAGAGCUGGAGGUUAUAAGUUAUUGAAAUCAGAAUAUAGGUGGUAAUAAUAGGUUUUAAAAAAAAAAAAAGAUUACGUGGUGUGACCUCAUAUAGAGGUAUCGUAAGACUAUUUGGGGAUAGUCUCUCCGAGCAGAAUAGAAUGAAGCUAGAUGAUUAAGUUUAAGUGUUUAUAGUUAUAGACAUCACAAUUCCUAAUUCUAGUUCUUUCAGUCCUAGUAUAUUGACCAAUUUAGAGUUAUAUCAUAUUAAGAAGGUCAGAAUUAGACUAUCAGAAGAACCUUAAAAUUUGAAACAUUUGAGGUCGAACUAGUAGACAUUCUCACACAGUCUAAUGUAUCAUUGUAGUAUCUGCCAAGUGUUGAGUGCUAUUUGGAGAUUCACCUUUUGAUUCUUGUCAGAGAUAUAUAGAAUUGGCGAAUAGACAUGUCCGCGUUUAAAGCUUUGUAUAUAUUUAAGGAGUGAGUGUUAGAGCUACGUAGAUUUCGUGUUAGAUUACUCGAUCUAGUACUUAUGAGUGAGUUAAGACGUCAACAUUAUAUGUUGAUAAUUUUAUAAAGUAGGAUAAGACUUCUGAUCGACAACGAUAUCAAUGAUGGGAUCUGCAGAGGCUAUUACGAGUCAACGAUAAUAUAUGCAAGUGAUCAGUAGAACGUCAAGAAGAAUCACUGGAAUCAGAACGAGUCAUCAAAGGAAUCGAUCAAGAAGACAUCUGUGAAAAUACUGGCAAUACCUUCCUCACUGUUGAUUAUAUUGAUUUUUUUUUUCCCUCAUCAUUGAUUUGUUUAGACAUCACUUUCAUAAAGUUUUUUUGGUGAAGAAUAUAUCUUUCCCUCUCACUUGAGUUCUCAAAUGAUACAUGUGUUUACCGUAACACCUUUGGAAUCUAUUCAAUUUUUGAUAUUUUUGGACCCUUUCAUAUUCUCUACUCUAACUGAGGUGAACAACCCUACUUACAGGGGACACAAGGACUAUCUGUCUGUGUGAUAGAAGUUGGAUGGGACGCCAUCACUUGUGUGUGUUGUAUACACAAGAAGGUUAACUAUCUUUAGUAGUGUCUUAAUCCAGACACGCAACACUGAGUUCUUUAGAUCAUAUUGGUCUCUCAGUUAUUCCCUCAUUCAAAUGAGAUUUAUUCAACAAACUCAUAAUUAUAUGACCAUAAUCAUGUGACAUUUGCUUUGAUAUAUGAAAUCUGUCAUACUUUUAAAUCUUCAAAAUUCUUGUUAUCUCUAAUAGUUUGAAGGUAUGCCAAUCAAGUUUCCAAUAUGAAUUAAGACUUUGUAGUAAGGUGUACCAUGGAUAAAAGCAGAUGACAACGCGGGUAUCCGGCAGCGAUCAAGAAAAAUAUUAUAUCAUAAACAAAGAGUAUUACGGAUUAUAGAGAUCGUACGCUCCAGUUUGCUUUCCGCUGAUUCCGAGGACGGAAUCUUUUUAAAGGGGGUAGAUUGUGACGACUCGGAUUUUAGAUAUUAUUUUAUUAUUUUUAUUCAUGAUUAUUCGAGAAAAAUGAGGAAUAAAAUUCUAUAUUUUAUUCCAGUUUUAUAAUUUUCAAAUAUUUUCCGACUCAUUAGGAUAUCGAAAUUUUGUUGUGUGUUUUGAAUUGAAUACCAUGUUAAAUAUAUGAAUUACUUGUUCUAUGAUUUAACUUUAGUAUCUGGAUGUGAUUUAUGCUUGUGUGUAUAUCUGUUACAAACUUUUGUGUUGUUUUAUAAAUAUUUAUGAUUUUCUUUAAAAUGGAUUAUAGGAAAUUGAAUUUCUUAAAAUACAAAAAUGACUUGUAAAAUUCUUUUAAUUACUUGAAAAUGGUAAUGAAUAUUUUUAGGAGUUUUGAAAAUAUUAAAAAUAUUAUUUUUGUAGAAGUUUCAUGUUUAAAUAUUUCUUGAACACAAUUAACUUCUAAAUUACGUAUAAAUUUCAGUAAUGCUUCAUAAAUCCCGAAACUUUUAUUUUAUUAGUUUUAUAAUAUUCCGGGAUUUAUAAAAAUAUGUUGGUGAUGUUUCCAAGAUACUAUAAUAGCGAGAUAUUCCGAUAAUAUAGUUAAAAGCGGGUCCGAGUCAAUUGGUUAUUCAGAUUAUUAAAGGCACGUGGAAGUACAAGACUUAGCCACGUACCCUUUUACAGCACCGCCUCGUUUUGCCGACCUUCAUAUUAUCAUAAAUCAAAAUCUCAUUCCUCUAAAUCUAUCGUCUCUCUCUCUCUCUCUCGCAUAUUUCUCCUUCCUCCCUCAAACCAACAGUCGCCUCCCCUAUAUGCUGUUUGUCGACAUCGAUGCCCUCCGUUUUUCUCUCCAACACUGCCGCUGUUCUCAGUUCUGCGAUUGAAGUCGCGACAACCGCUGUCUAAUCGACUACCGAUGCUCCGUUUCUGGCAACCCAGGCUCUGUCCUCCACCUUCUGACCAUAUUCUUGUUCGAAUUGAACGAGACGUUGAUCGAGGCAUUGAUCGAGAAGUGAUUGAAAUGGGUAUUCAAAAAUAGCUAAGUUGUGUUGCAAGUUGAAGUUGGGCAGAGAUUGUUAUAGAUAGAAUCUUGUCAGAAGCUGGCAGAAAGGAAUGAUAUGGCACUACAUAGUGUUAUUAGAAAUCUGAGCUAGACACCGGAGUUAAGAUAAUGUUAAAGAUGGUUCGCCUAUUUAGGCUAAGCAUAAGAGUAAGGCUAGGCGAGGAUUGCAAGUGACUAAGUUUCAACCUGAUGGUCAGGAAGAGUAUCCAAGAUCGAGUCUUUGGGACUAGUGGUAAUUAGAGUUGUCUAAAUUUGAUUUAGUUGUAAAAACAUGUAAUAGAAUUUAUUAGUUUUAUUUUUCUGAUUUCAAUACUAUAGCCUGUUUGCGAUCCUGUUUUAAAGGGGGUUAAACUUUGUUCUUUUAAAUCUUUUAUUAAAGCUUUCAGGUUUUAAAUCCUCUGUUUUUUUAAGCUUUUCAAAAAUACAGGUUUUCAAAACUGUAAAUCAUAUUUAAAAUAUCCAGGUUUUGAAAUUUCUAUUUUACUCUCUUUCAAAUAUAUAGGUUUUAAAUUUUUUUUCAUAUAGUGGCACCAAAUCCAGACCCCCGGAUUUGAGGGCUGUCACAGUUGGUAUCAGAGCUGGAGGUUAUAAGUUAUUGAAAUCAGAAUAUAGGUGGUAAUAAUAGGUUUUAAAAAAAAAAAAAAGAUUACGUGGUGUGACCUCAUAUAGAGGUAUCGUAAGACUAUUUGGGGAUAGUCUCUCCGAGCAGAAUAGAAUGAAGCUAGAUGAUUAAGUUUAAGUGUUUAUAGUUAUAGACAUCACAAUUCCUAAUUCUAGUUCUUUCAGUCCUAGUAUAUUGACCAAUUUAGAGUUAUAUCAUAUUAAGAAGGUCAGAAUUAGACUAUCAGAAGAACCUUAAAAUUUGAAACAUUUGAGGUCGAACUAGUAGACAUUCUCACACAGUCUAAUGUAUCAUUGUAGUAUCUGCCAAGUGUUGAGUGCUAUUUGGAGAUUCACCUUUUGAUUCUUGUCAGAGAUAUAUAGAAUUGGCGAAUAGACAUGACCGCGUUUAAAGCUUUGUAUAUAUUUAAGGAGUGAGUGUUAGAGCUACGUAGAUUUCGUGUUAGAUUACUCGAUCUAGUACUUAUGAGUGAGUUAAGACGUCAACAUUAUAUGUUGAUAAUUUUAUAAAGUAGGAUAAGACUUCUGAUCGACAACGAUAUCAAUGAUGGGAUCUGCAGAGGCUAUUACGAGUCAACGAUAAUAUAUGCAAGUGAUCACUAGAACGUCAAGAAGAAUCACUGGAAUCAGAACGAGUCAUCAAAGGAAUCGAUCAAGAAGACAUCUGUGAAAAUACUGGCAAUACCUUCCUCACUGUUGAUUAUAUUGAUUUUUUUUUCCCUCAUCAUUGAUUUGUUUAGACAUCACUUUCAUAAAGUUUUUUUGGUGAAGAAUAUAUCUUUCCCUCUCACUUGAGUUCUCAAAUGAUACAUGUGUUUACCGUAACACCUUUGGAAUCUAUUCAAUUUUUGAUAUUUUUGGACCCUUUCAUAUUCUCUACUCUAACUGAGGUGAACAACCCUACUUACAGGGGACACAAGGACUAUCUGUCUGUGUGAUAGAAGUUGGAUGGGACGCCAUCACUUGUGUGUGUUGUAUACACAAGAAGGUUAACUAUCUUUAGUAGUGUCUUAAUCCAGACACGCAACACUGAGUUCUUUAGAUCAUAUUGGUCUCUCAGUUAUUCCCUCAUUCAAAUGAGAUUUAUUCAACAAACUCAUAAUUAUAUGACCAUAAUCAUGUGACAUUUGCUUUGAUAUAUGAAAUCUGUCAUACUUUUAAAUCUUCAAAAUUCUUGUUAUCUCUAAUAGUUUGAAGGUAUGCCAAUCAAGUUUCCAAUAUGAAUUAAGACUUUGUAGUAAGGUGUACCAUGGAUAAAAGCAGAUGACAACGCGGGUAUCCGGCAGCGAUCAAGAAAAAUAUUAUAUCAUAAACAAAGAGUAUUACGGAUUAUAGAGAUCGUACGCUCCAGUUUGCUUUCCGCUGAUUCCGAGGACGGAAUCUUUUUAAAGGGGGUAGAUUGUGACGACUCGGAUUUUAGAUAUUAUUUUAUUAUUUUUAUUCAUGAUUAUUCGAGAAAAAUGAGGAAUAAAAUUCUAUAUUUUAUUCCAGUUUUAUAAUUUUCAAAUAUUUUCCGACUCAUUAGGAUAUCGAAAUUUUGUUGUGUGUUUUGAAUUGAAUACCAUGUUAAAUAUAUGAAUUACUUGUUCUAUGAUUUAACUUUAGUAUCUGGAUGUGAUUUAUGCUUGUGUGUAUAUCUGUUACAAACUUUUGUGUUGUUUUAUAAAUAUUUAUGAUUUUCUUUAAAAUGGAUUAUAGGAAAUUGAAUUUCUUAAAAUACAAAAAUGACUUGUAAAAUUCUUUUAAUUACUUGAAAAUGGUAAUGAAUAUUUUUAGGAGUUUUGAAAAUAUUAAAAAUAUUAUUUUUGUAGAAGUUUCAUGUUUAAAUAUUUCUUGAACACAAUUAACUUCUAAAUUACGUAUAAAUUUCAGUAAUGCUUCAUAAAUCCCGAAACUUUUAUUUUAUUAGUUUUAUAAUAUUCCGGGAUUUAUAAAAAUAUGUUGGUGAUGUUUCCAAGAUACUAUAAUAGCGAGAUAUUCCGAUAAUAUAGUUAAAAGCGGGUCCGAGUCAAUUGGUUAUUCAGAUUAUUAAAGGCACGUGGAAGUACAAGACUUAGCCACGUACCCUUUUACAGCACCGCCUCGUUUUGCCGACCUUCAUAUUAUCAUAAAUCAAAAUCUCAUUCCUCUAAAUCUAUCGUCUCUCUCUCUCUCUCUCGCAUAUUUCUCCUUCCUCCCUCAAACCAACAGUCGCCUCCCCUAUAUGCUGUUUGUCGACAUCGAUGCCCUCCGUUUUUCUCUCCAACACUGCCGCUGUUCUCAGUUCUGCGAUUGAAGUCGCGACAACCGCUGUCUAAUCGACUACCGAUGCUCCGUUUCUGGCAACCCAGGCUCUGUCCUCCACCUUCUGACCAUAUUCUUGUUCGAAUUGAACGAGACGUUGAUCGAGGCAUUGAUCGAGAAGUGAUUGAAAUGGGUAUUCAAAAAUAGCUAAGUUGUGUUGCAAGUUGAAGUUGGGCAGAGAUUGUUAUAGAUAGAAUCUUGUCAGAAGCUGGCAGAAAGGAAUGAUAUGGCACUACAUAGUGUUAUUAGAAAUCUGAGCUAGACACCGGAGUUAAGAUAAUGUUAAAGAUGGUUCGCCUAUUUAGGCUAAGCAUAAGAGUAAGGCUAGGCGAGGAUUGCAAGUGACUAAGUUUCAACCUGAUGGUCAGGAAGAGUAUCCAAGAUCGAGUCUUUGGGACUAGUGGUAAUUAGAGUUGUCUAAAUUUGAUUUAGUUGUAAAAACAUGUAAUAGAAUUUAUUAGUUUUAUUUUUCUGAUUUCAAUACUAUAGCCUGUUUGCGAUCC
Long non-coding RNA from Daucus carota subsp. sativus, 7231 nucleotides. RefSeq lists it as uncharacterized. NCBI's taxonomy places the organism in Eukaryota, Viridiplantae, Streptophyta, Magnoliopsida, Apiales, Apiaceae. The record is from RefSeq and is a predicted model, not a curated record. The transcript is spliced from 7 exons.